CUACAAUAAAGAAAACGCCAUCACCUACGUUACGGAAGAUGGACAAGUUUUCACAGACGUCCUUGCAUUCUCUGACGACAAUUGCUAUGUUCUCUACGCUCUUGGCGCAGACGGAACUGAGGGAGGGUACGAACUAUCGGCAAAAGAUUCUGACAAUGUUCCAACCAGUUGUCUGGAGAAGUUCAAUGAGUACGCUGCUGGUCUACCGGUACGGGACGUAUUCACAAGUGAUUGCUUUCCAGAAAUGGAAGAAUAACUUGGGAGUAUCGUGCCUUCAACGUCAAACUGUGGUAUUGCCAUCUCAUGUCUCCAUGUUUCAUGCAGUGCGCUCGACGAUAUC
Rhipicephalus microplus (southern cattle tick) is the source of this 340-nucleotide long non-coding RNA. The record is from RefSeq and is a predicted model, not a curated record. NCBI's taxonomy places the organism in Eukaryota, Metazoa, Arthropoda, Arachnida, Ixodida, Ixodidae.